This 403-nucleotide ribosomal RNA is filed under the name Salmonella enterica subsp. enterica. Its description in RNAcentral is "bacterial SSU rRNA". It matches the Rfam family "Bacterial small subunit ribosomal RNA", at positions 1143 to 1533 of the family's 1533-position model. Lineage: Bacteria; Pseudomonadati; Pseudomonadota; Gammaproteobacteria; Enterobacterales; Enterobacteriaceae. The record is from RNAcentral.
AGGAGACUGCCAGUGAUAAACUGGAGGAAGGUGGGGAUGACGUCAAGUCAUCAUGGCCCUUACGACCAGGGCUACACACGUGCUACAAUGGCGCAUACAAAGAGAAGCGACCUCGCGAGAGCAAGCGGACCUCAUAAAGUGCGUCGUAGUCCGGAUUGGAGUCUGCAACUCGACUCCAUGAAGUCGGAAUCGCUAGUAAUCGUGGAUCAGAAUGCCACGGUGAAUACGUUCCCGGGCCUUGUACACACCGCCCGUCACACCAUGGGAGUGGGUUGCAAAAGAAGUAGGUAGCUUAACCUUCGGGAGGGCGCUUACCACUUUGUGAUUCAUGACUGGGGUGAAGUCGUAACAAGGUAACCGUAGGGGAACCUGCGGUUGGAUCACCUCCUUACCUGAAAGAAGC